RNAcentral lists this ribosomal RNA (1410 nucleotides) under Micrococcus endophyticus. RNAcentral's name for it is "bacterial SSU rRNA". It matches the Rfam family "Bacterial small subunit ribosomal RNA". Lineage: Bacteria; Bacillati; Actinomycetota; Actinomycetes; Micrococcales; Micrococcaceae. The record is from RNAcentral.
CUUACCAUGCAGUCGAACGAUGAAGCCCAGCUUGCUGGGUGGAUUAGUGGCGAACGGGUGAGUAACACGUGAGUAACCUGCCCUUGACUCUGGGAUAAGCCUGGGAAACUGGGUCUAAUACCGGAUAGGAACGUCCACCGCAUGGUGGGUGUUGGAAAGAUUUAUCGGUCAUGGAUGGACUCGCGGCCUAUCAGCUUGUUGGUGAGGUAAUGGCUCACCAAGGCGACGACGGGUAGCCGGCCUGAGAGGGUGACCGGCCACACUGGGACUGAGACACGGCCCAGACUCCUACGGGAGGCAGCAGUGGGGAAUAAUUGCACAAUGGCGAAGCCUGAUGCAGCGACGCCGCGUGGAGGGAUGACGCUUCGGGUUGUAAACUCUUUCAGUAGGGAGAAGCGGAAAGUGACGGUACUGCAGAAGAAGCACCGGCUAACUACGUGCCAGCAGCCGCGGUAAUACGUAGGGUGCGAGCGUAUCCGGAAUUAUUGGGCGUAAAGAGCUCGUAGGCGGUUUGUCGCGUCUGUCGUGAAAGUCCGGGGCUUAACCCCGGAUCUGCGGUGGGUACGGGCAGACUAGAGUGCAGUAGGGGAGACUGGAAUUCCUGGUGUAGCGGUGGAAUGCGCAGAUAUCAGGAGGAACACCGAUGGCGAAGGCAGGUCUCUGGGCUGUAACUGACGCUGAGGAGCGAAAGCAUGGGGAGCGAACAGGAUUAGAUACCCUGGUAGUCCAUGCCGUAAACGUUGGGCACUAGGUGUGGGGACCAUUCCACGGUUUCCGCGCCGCAGCUAACGCAUUAAGUGCCCCGCCUGGGGAGUACGGCCGCAAGGCUAAAACUCAAAGGAAUUGACGGGGGCCCGCACAAGCGGCGGAGCAUGCGGAUUAAUUCGAUGCAACGCGAAGAACCUUACCAAGGCUUGACAUGUUCUCGAUCGCCGUAGAGAUACGGUUUCCCCUUUGGGGCGGGAUCACAGGUGGUGCAUGGUUGUCGUCAGCUCGUGUCGUGAGAUGUUGGGUUAAGUCCCGCAACGAGCGCAACCCUCGUUCCAUGUUGCCAGCACGUCAUGGUGGGGACUCAUGGGAGACUGCCGGGGUCAACUCGGAGGAAGGUGGGGACGACGUCAAAUCAUCAUGCCCCUUAUGUCUUGGGCUUCACGCAUGCUACAAUGGCCGGUACAAUGGGUUGCGAUACUGUGAGGUGGAGCUAAUCCCAAAAAGCCGGUCUCAGUUCGGAUUGGGGUCUGCAACUCGACCCCAUGAAGUCGGAGUCGCUAGUAAUCGCAGAUCAGCAACGCUGCGGUGAAUACGUUCCCGGGCCUUGUACACACCGCCCGUCAAGUCACGAAAGUCGGUAACACCCGAAGCCGGUGGCCUAACCCUUGUGGGGGGAGCCGUCGAAGGUGACAGACGUUU